This is a long non-coding RNA of Amphiprion ocellaris (clown anemonefish), 3558 nucleotides long. The record is from Ensembl. Lineage: Eukaryota; Metazoa; Chordata; Actinopteri; Pomacentridae.
AGAGGCUGCUGGUCCUGAACCUCAUUAGAGCCUCAGAUCUGACGGAUGUUUCCAUCACUUCCCCUCCUCUGGUCUCCUGUGGUCAUGUGACACAUGGCUGCUGUCACUCUGAUUGGCUGAGAGUCAGACAGGAAGAAGCAGCGACUGCAGGCUUUUAACUGGAACCUGAAGAUGGAAAAUAACAAAUAUAAUCAGUAGGCUCUUUUUGGAGGCUCCAGCUCUGGUAUCCUGACAGCCAGACAUUUCCCUGCAGCUGAUUGGCCGAUGGUUCCAGCUGACAUGCUGCUGCAGCUUUGGAUCCAUCAUGGCCUCCUGCAGCAGCUCCAGAUACCAGAACAACGUGUGAAGUGUUUCAAAGGGAAGCUGCAGCCGUCCGACGGCUGAAUUUAAUCCUGGAAUCUUGUGGAUAAGCUUAGACUGCUGGAGGAAGCACCUGCUGGCCGGUUCCAGCGUAAACACCGAGGAGUAGAGGAUGUCAUCCGGAGACAAUAAUCAGGGGUUUCCCAUCCAGCACCGUGUUUACAGGAACAGCUGCAGAACCAGGUACGCUGCUGGAGGCCUCACUGACCCCAGACCUGAGAUCUGAAGAAAGAAAGAAGAACAUCCUAAAAGAAUUGAGAACAUCCAGUCAGUCUGAUUUAUGCUCCUCUGAACCCAGUCAACCCUCGCGUCGUCCUGCGGGUCAGACUGACCCGUUUUAAAAUUUGAAAAUGUGGGAAAAUACAUAGAUUUUCACAGUGAAACCUUCCACCAUUUCAACAUUUUUGGGAAAUUUUUGAACAUUUUUUUGUGGAAAAAAAGAAAUGUUAAAAAAAAUGUUUCUUUAAGAACAUUCUGAAAAGAAAUCUACCAAAAUCCAGUGAAUUUCACUGGAUUUUGGUUGAUUUUUAUGUGAAUGUUCCAAAGAAAAUAUUAGAAGUUUUACUGAUAUAUAUGGAAUCACUUUAGAUAUUUUUAGGAUUUUUUUGGAAGAUUUUUACUCAUUUUUUGAAAACAUUUACAAUAGUUUUUUUUUUUUUUUUUUUUAAAUUUCGUACCAAAUUUGGGGUUUAAGAAAAAACUUUUAAGGGAAAUGUUUAAGGAUUUUUUGGAAUUUUCUUCCUGAUGAUUUAGCAAUUUUUUAUAAAUUUGGGGAAUUUUUUUUUGCUAAAUUUUUGGAUUUUUUUCAGAGAAAGGAACAAUAUUUUUUGGUGCCCGUAAAUGAAGACAUCAGGAGAGUUAAGAUCAGAAACUAACUCAUAGAGACUCACUCUGCCUUCUGACAGCAUCAAUCAUUAUUUUACACACAUUUUAAAUCACUCUAGUUCAGUUUAUUUAAAGUCAUUGUUUAAUCAUUCUGACAUGUUUUUAAUCAUUUUAGACACAUUUAGAUCAUUUUUGGACACAUUUAGAUCAUUUUGGACAUUUUAAUCAUUUUUCGACAUUUAAAUCAUUUUGGACAUACUUUAAUCAUUUUUGGAUACAUUUAGAUCAUUUUUGACAUAUUUUAAUCAUUUUUGGACACAUUUAGAUCAUUUUUGACAUAUUUUAAUCAUUUUUGGACACAUUUAGAUCAUUCUGGACAAAUGACACAAGAAGAAGCACAAGAAUAUCCUGAACUGACAAACAUGAAGAACUGAGCUCAUGUGAGGCUGCAGGAUCACACAUGUAUGUAUUCUAUACACACAUGUGGUCAUCAUGUGUGUAAACAUGCAGGAAACGGUGGAUUAACGUCGGACGCAGCUGCAGCAGGAAAGUGAAGCUGGUGGGUCCAUCAGGGAGCUCGAUUGUUCCAGUUUAUUGACGAUCACUUUGUGUUUUCAGGGUGAAUGCGGAGUUUCUCAGUGAGACGGAGGACAGGAGCUGUUCCCACACAGACAGGAAGUCCAACUGGAGGACCAGAACGAGUAAAGUGCUGAGCUCAUGUGAGCUCAUUUAGAAGGAAAUACAUCUUCAGCAGCAGGUCAGUGCUGGAGGCUGCAGGAGGAGCUGCUCUACUCUCCUUCAUAUCCAGGUUAAAAACAUCUGAGGCUCCAACAGGAGAAGGAAGAAGAUUAAAGAAAGUUCUGAUCCACUGAUCUGGUCUCAGUGUUUCUACAACAUCUGGUUUCUGCUCACAUGGUGGAUGUUUGGAACUUUUACUGAGAUUAGUGAGAGGUUUAGAGGAAAAAUCUGCUCACAACUCAGAGAAUAAAACACUGGAACGCCUUCAGAGGAGUCAUAGGAGUCUUGGUGGCCUCCCUCUCUAGUCUCUUUCUCCUUCAGAGGAGUCAUAGGAGUCUUGGUGGCCUCCCUCUCUAGUCUCUUUCUCCUUCAGAGGAGUCAUAGGAGUCUUCGUGGCCUCCCUCUCUAAUCUCUCAGGUCUUGAGAAUGUCCUGCUCUAGUCAGAUUUAUUCAUGUUCUAUCUUCCUUCCAUUUCUUAAUGAUGGAUUUAACUGGACUCCAGGAGGUCUUCAGGAACUUUAAAUGUUCUUGUAUCGUCCUCACUGAUGCUUUUCAACAACUUUUUGUGAGAGUUUCUUGGUUCUUCAGUCUUCAUGGUGUAGAUCUAUCCAGGAGUUCUGAUCCACCAGAGACUGGACCUUCAGAUCCAGGAGUCUUUAUCCUCCAAUCACUGACCUCAGAUCAGCCAUGAAUGACUUCUGGACCAACUGGCUGCAGCUCAGUUCCAUCAGAGUCACAUUAACCCUUGUGUCGUCCUGCGGGUCAAAUUGACCCGUUUUAAAGUUUGAAAAUGUUCAGUUCAUUUGAGUUCAGUUCAGUUUAUUUGCCAUUUGCAGUAUAAAACCACAUUGGAAAGAGGUGCAAGAAGUUCAAAAUGCAUAUUGUCAACAUCUAAAAACAACAAAUACAGAAGAAAAUAGGACAGUAAAAAGAACAGAUGCCACAUAAAAAACUUAAAAAUAAAUACUAAGAUCCAAUAAAUAGUUCAUAAGAAAAUAAAAAAACAUGUUAGAAUCAAGGUGCAUUAUUUAAAAUCAUCACAGCUUGUGGGAAGAAGCUCUUACAAUGACGAGACGUGGUGCACUUAAUUGACCGAUAUCUUUUCCCUGAGGGCAGGACUUCAAACAUGGCCCUGGCAGGAUGGCCUGAAGAAUCAUUUACUAUCUGUAAAGCCCGGUGUAAAAGUCUCACUUUAUAUGUGGCCUCCAGGAGCAGCAAAGUGCAGCUGAUGGUCCUUCUGCUUCUGGCUGAGCGAACCACUUUGUCCAGAACCUUCUUUUCUUUCAGAGUGAGAUUACCAAACCACACAAUAGAAGAGCUGGUUGCACACCUUCAAUUGCACAAUAAUAAAAGUUUAAAAGAAUCUUUGUGUUUUGGGUAAAUUUUCUAAGUUUACACAAAAAGGAGAGGCGUUGUUUUGCCUUCUUAGCAAUGCUGGUAGUAUUUAGGUUCCAACUGAGGUCAUUUGAAAGAGUGACACCCAAGAAUUUACAAUUUUCAACAAUCUGCACCUGAGUGUCCUGAAUUGUGAUGGGCAAAAAUAUAUAUGGAAAAAAUAUAUAUAUUUUCACAGUGAAACUUCUGAUGUCCACAUUUUCAACAUUUUUGGGAAAUCUUUGAACAUUUUUGGUGGAA